Molecule: long non-coding RNA, 2261 nt
Filed under: Homo sapiens (human)
Lineage: Eukaryota; Metazoa; Chordata; Mammalia; Primates; Hominidae
Description: non-protein coding lnc-PTPA-3:4
Source: RNAcentral
AAACCUGUCCGUGGCUGGCAGCCCUGUGAUACCUCGCCACAUUCUGCAACAGAAUCCGAGAUAGAGGUAGAAGUGGGGGAGUACGUCGUGGCUGUCAGGGCAGCUUUCUGUAAAAUGCUGCCUGGAGGAGCAUGUGAUUCCAGACCCUCCUCUCUGCAACGAAAGUGAGGUUGACACCUGCAGGUAUGAUUGUAACACGACUUUUAGUUCAGGCCUGGGGCCUCCUGGCCCACUGAGCAGAACACACAGAAGCUGGGCCCACCCCUGCCCUCCCCACAAAGGGUCACGGGAGCCACCGCCUGACUUUGAAGCCCACUGACUUGCGGCUGACAAGAGAAAAGAAUGUGCCCCUGUGAUCAUGUGAAAGCAUCAGCCAGGGGUCCAAGAACUUCCCUCUGGAGCCUCACACUCCCAGCGUGGCACCCAGCAGGGAACAGAUUCUCUCCAAACCUUUGUGAAUGAAUGAAGGAUGACGUCACUAGAAUCCAUCCCUGUUUUAUUUUUUAUUUUUAUUUUUUGAGACAGAGUCUCGCUCUGUUGUUGCCCAGGCUGGAGUGCGGUGGCACAAUCUCAGCUCACUACAACCUCCGCCUCCCCGGUUCAAGUGAUUCUCCUGCCUCAACCUCCUGAGUAGCUGGGAUUACAGGCACCCAUCACCACGCCUGGCUAAUUUUUGUGUGUGUUUAGUACAGACGGGGUUUCACCACGUUGGCCAGACUGGUCUUGAACUCCUGACCUCAGGUGAUCCGCCUGCCUCGGCCUCCCAAAGUGUUGGGAUUACAGGCGUGAGCCACCACGCCCAUGCCCAUCCCCAUUUUAUAGACAAGGAUACCAAGGCUCAGAGAGGGGAAGCCACUUGCCAAGGACGCACAGGAGGACACCAGUGAGCAGGACCUCUGGUCUGUCUGGGAGGCCACUGGGCCUCUUCCCAGAGUCUCUGCUUGGUGAGCCAGGAUUUUACACCCGCCUUGGGCCCAGUGGGCUGAGAGGACAUGGGCUGGGGUGUCGGAAGCUGCAGAGCUGAUCCCUCCUGCUUGGCUGGAGGCUUGCAGACCCGGCAGGCAGGCUCGGGAGGCAGCGGGCGACUUGAAAAUGCACUCCCUACCACAGGCUCAAGAGUGACGGCGCCUGUCAGGGACCGGGAGGCAGGGCCUGUCUUUUCCUGCUGUUUUAUUGCCUUCAAAGUCUGGACCAAGUGGUUUCUGGAUGGAGUCACGGUAACCUCACGUCUAUUCAAGCAAUUCGUUCAUUGUUUCAUUUAGUAAAAUACCCACAAAACAAGGAAGAACACCUUGGCGGUGCCUCUGAUCCCCCCAUUUGUCUGCAAAUCGGAAAAGCAUGAUUCCAUCGAUCUCCUGUUUAUUGAGCGCCUACUACAUGCUAGGUCGGAUGGUCUAGUUCAACCCCUCGCAACGCCACAGCUGCUGUCUGUUUCGUAUCUUGUAUUUUUCGCUUGACAGUUUAUCAUGUGCAUUUUCUCGGGUACCAAAGGCCCUUGUAAGAGAUGGUGUCUGGAGAAUGGGUAUCUCAGGGGCCUACCACCUGGCUUACCUCCUCCCAAAUCAGGGUUCCUCUGCACCACCUCCUCUCUGUCCAGCUCCUCCUUCAGGGCCUGGCUCAAUUCUACCUCCUCCACAAAGCCCUCCAUUCCCUCCCCUCCUGGUCAGUGUUGUCUCUUUUGCAGCCACUAGCUCUCUGCCUUGCCUCACCCGGGUCUCCUAUCCCUCUCCUUCUCUCUCAUGGAGUGAUGCCUUUUUUCUUCCUCUACACACAUCAGGUCUGAGCUCAAAGUCACCUUGUCAAAGGCCCUCCCAGGACCACCCUGUGUGAUUAUCCUGUGGGCUUGUUCCUGUGUUUGUCCCUGAGCCCACAGGGUCUGGUGGUUCAGUAGAAGGACUCCUGCAGAAGGUGCUGGAUAAACACUGGAAGAUCUAGAAAUAAAAAUAAAAGAAAGACUGGGCGCGGUGGCUCAGGCCUGUAAUCCCAACACUUUGGGAGGCCGAGGUGGGCGGAUCCCCUGAGGUCAGGAGUUCGAGACUAACCUGGCCAACAUGGCGAAACCCCAUCUCUACUAAAAAUACAAAAAUUAGCCAGGCAUGGUGGCAUGUGCCUGUAAUCCCAGCUACUCAGGAGGCUGAGGCAGGAGAAUCGCUUGAACCCGGGAGGCAGAGGUUGUAGUGAGCUGAGAUCGCGCCACCGCACUCUAGCCUGGGCGAAAGAGUGAGACUGUAUCCCAAAAAUAAUAAAAUAAAAUAAAAUAA